Molecule: unclassified non-coding RNA, 24 nt
Filed under: Mus musculus (house mouse)
Lineage: Eukaryota; Metazoa; Chordata; Mammalia; Rodentia; Muridae
Description: oocyte_clustered_small_RNA10604
Source: RNAcentral
UAGGAUGCUCACAGUCAGCUAUUG